UUAACCUUAGGGAGGGCGCUUACCACUUUGUGAUUCAUGACUGGGGUGAAGUCGUAACAAGGUAACCGUAGGGGAACCUGCGGUUGGAUCACCUCCUUACCUUAAAGAA
RNAcentral lists this ribosomal RNA (109 nucleotides) under Salmonella enterica subsp. enterica serovar Derby. Its description in RNAcentral is "partial 16S ribosomal RNA". It matches the Rfam family "Bacterial small subunit ribosomal RNA", at positions 1435 to 1533 of the family's 1533-position model. The record is from RNAcentral. Lineage: Bacteria; Pseudomonadati; Pseudomonadota; Gammaproteobacteria; Enterobacterales; Enterobacteriaceae.